CCUACGGGAGGCAGCAGUGAGGAAUAUUGGUCAAUGGGCGAGAGCCUGAACCAGCCAAGUCGCGUGAGGGAGUACUGCCCUAUGGGUUGUAAACCUCUUUUGUCGGGGAGCAAAAGCCGGACGUGUCCGGCUGUGAGAGUACCCGAAGAAAAAGCAUCGGCUAACUCCGUGCCAGCAGCCGCGGUAAUACGGAGGAUGCGAGCGUUAUCCGGAUUUAUUGGGUUUAAAGGGUGCGCAGGCGGAUUUUUAAGUCAGCGGUAAAAUCGUGGGGCUCAACCCCGUCCAGCCGUUGAAACUGGGGAUCUAGAGUGUGCGAGAGGUAUGCGGAAUGCGUGGUGUAGCGGUGAAAUGCAUAGAUAUCACACAGAACCCCGAUUGCGAAGGCAGCAUACCGGUGCACAACUGACGCUCAGGCACGAAAGCGUGGGUAUCGAACAGGAUUAGAUACCCGGGUAGUC
RNAcentral lists this ribosomal RNA (458 nucleotides) under uncultured bacterium. Its description in RNAcentral is "partial 16S ribosomal RNA". It matches the Rfam family "Bacterial small subunit ribosomal RNA", at positions 338 to 795 of the family's 1533-position model. The record is from RNAcentral.